This 421-nucleotide long non-coding RNA is filed under the name Androctonus crassicauda. Lineage: Eukaryota; Metazoa; Arthropoda; Arachnida; Scorpiones; Buthidae. The record is from RNAcentral.
CUCUUGUCAUUUCUCCUUUUAUACUUAUUUACACUACUCUUAUUUUCAUCUCUAUUUACGAUUCUCCGUGCUAUUUCAGUACCCAUCUACACAUUGUUUUGGUGCAGCUUGGUCUGUGAGGCCCUUGUAUCAUAAAACCGCAUACCAACCAAAAGCCUAGACCUGGGCGACCCGUUGUUUCGGAUGUGCAUAUAUUCAAUGGACAAACUAAAUGCUGCAUGUCCAUUUAGUUUGUCCGUAACUAAAUGGGCUGCUGAUCGUAUUAUAAAACUACCACAAUGGAAAAAGUCAUGGAUAAUGUUAGUGACUAUAUUGAGGGACUCUAAAAGUGAAUCUUGCUAUGCUUUUCCUGUGAUGAUCUGUACCAUUGUGAUCACUAUUAAAUUUCCCAUCUUUGUAUAUGAAAAUUGCCACAAUCAUC